Molecule: long non-coding RNA, 1112 nt
Organism: Betta splendens (Siamese fighting fish)
Lineage: Eukaryota; Metazoa; Chordata; Actinopteri; Anabantiformes; Osphronemidae
Exons: 3
Source: RefSeq, a predicted model, not a curated record
CGGCACCGUCACGUUUCAUGACGCGCGCGGAGAAAGUAAACGCUUGAUGAAAAGGCAGAGGAACGCUCGGAUAUGGUUAUAAUUAGCAACACGUGAAAUUAACAGUUAAUUAUUGAAAACACCGGAUGAGAACGGUCCAACUUCUUAAUUAAAGCGGGGAUCUUGUUCGCAGCUCUGGCCAAAUUCACACCGACGAGAAAGAAUGGUUUAAUGAAACUGUCUCUGUUUCCACUAAACGAUUACGCACGACGGUUAAACUGAUUUAAGUUGGUCAGUUUCACACAUUUCUGCACAAAUCCAAAUAAAUGAGUACGUGGAGUCGGUUCGAUUCACUUAAUUUACCUUCCACCCAGCAGAGGCAGCACUGGGCGAACUGUGCGCAAAGUAGCGCAAAUUACGCGCCACGAAACACCGCGCUCUAGAACGAGAGGGGGGCGUUUUAUAUUAGCAAUUAGGAAUGAAAGAUAACGCGUUGUCCCGAAGGCCACUUUGCCCCUAACUUAAUUACUCGUCUACCGCUCCACGCUGUUUUGGCACCUCGCACCAAGUUUGCGCCAAACUAGUUUCCGCCAACAUUGUCCAAAGAACCAUUUAUGAAGGUGAACGAUGAACCCAAAUCCAUGCUCCCAAACCUCGGACUGCAGCUUCAGGACGCCAGUGAGAGCGUCUCCUUCAGAGUGAGGAGUUGAAGGAUAACGUAGCUCAUGGAGGGAGGCGGGCGCCGCCUCCCAUUUCUCAGGUGAGCUCCGUCUCAAUGAGCCGACUGUGACUCACCGGCGGCGUCUGGCAAAAUCCCCUCUCAGGAGAUGAAGUCUUAGAUCGCUGAGAAACAAACACCGUGGCGGUUUCUAUUUCACGCGUAAUUCUUCCAGCAAACAAUGGAAGAGCUACAGUUUCGAACCUGCACCCAGAACAUCAGCAGGAUUUCCUCUUCGUACACAGACACAUGGUUCAAUCAGACACCUGCCGCUGCCGAGGCGACCUGAUGUGGACAGAUGUGUUCCAGUGCCUCUGCCUCUGUGGAGUUAACGAUGUGCGCCGGCCUCACUCCCAUGACUUUGACACGAGGCUUCGUCUGUGACACACUUCAGGUAUAAUAUUGUGAUUCCAGG